Molecule: ribosomal RNA, 443 nt
Filed under: uncultured bacterium
Lineage: Bacteria
Description: partial 16S ribosomal RNA
Rfam family: Bacterial small subunit ribosomal RNA
Source: RNAcentral
CCUACGGGAGGCAGCAGUGGGGAAUAUUGCACAAUGGGGGAAACCCUGAUGCAGCGACGCCGCGUGAGUGAAGAAGUAUUUCGGUAUGUAAAGCUCUGUCAGCAGGGAAGAAAGAAAUGACGGUACAUGACCAAGAAGCCCCGGCUAACUACGUGCCAGCAGCCGCGGUAAUACGUAGGGGGCAAGCGUUAUCCGGAAUUACUGGGUGUAAAGGGAGCGUAGACGGUGAUGCAAGUCUGGAGUGAAAGGCGGGGGCCCAACCUCCGGACUGCUCUGGAAACUGUGUAACUUGAGUGCAGGAGAGGUAAGCGGAAUUCCUGGUGUAGGGGUGAAAUGCGUAGAUAUUAGGAGGAACACCAGUGGCGAAGGCGACUUACUGGACUGUAACUGACGUUGAGGCGCGAAAGCGUGGGGAGCAAACAGGAUUAGAUACCCGUGUAGUC